AUGUCUGCAGCAUGAUUAGACACACAUUUAUAUAGUUUAUCAGAAAGAAAAGUUGAUUUGGGGGUGACUUGUAGGGCUGCAACAACGAAUCGAUAAAUUCGAUGAAAAUCGAUUACUAAAAGCGUUGGCAACGAAUUGCGUCAUCGAUUCGUUGUGUCGCACAACUCUUCCAAAAGCGCCCCCCCUUCCCGCCCACCGUUGCGCGCAGACAGAUCAGCGCGAGGGAGAGCCGGCAGUUGUUUGGAAGAGGAACAUGGCAGAAGCAGCGAGAGUCAAAAAAGUAAAAGCUUUUUAAGUUUGGGAGCAUUUUCAGUUAAAUCGGGCGAAGACAUGCGUUACCUGCAACGUUUAGGUCAGACUUGCACGGGAUGAUGCAGCGUCUUAAACGCAAGCAUGUCGGGAUCAUCAGCGGAGAGAACUCUGUGUCCGGGUAAAUUAAAAACUUUUCAAAAGUGAUUCAUCCAAGUCCCGGAUUAUUACACAGGCUAGACAUGCCCUAAGCUCGUAAAAAAAGAGUCUAAAGUCGUGAGCGCGACGCUUAUUAAAUGAGCGGGGGGACUCGCGCUGCUGCGAACCGGUUCCGCCCAAGGCCGGAUUAACUGGGCAAUUGCCCAGGGCCCACGAACUCUAAAGGGCCCAGGGCACGAGCAAAAUACUGUAUCUAUAAUUUCCCGCUUUAUGAGGACUAUGGUGACCGUACGUUCCGUUUUCCCCAGACUUGUCCACUUUUCACUCUCUGUCCGGCGCGUCCGGACUGCGGGUUCUUGUAUUGAUGAAAAUGUCCGGCUUUUCAUCCAGGAGCAGGGAUCGAAUUAUGGGGGAGCUGUAUAUCCUACACAUCCAGUAGGGGAGCCGGAAAAAAGUUUUCUAUAUUAUAUCAUUUUUGGACUCUUUUGAGCAGAGAGCGGCACAGCGCAUUGUUACGCAGCGAUCCAGGCAGCUGCUUCCAGCGCACGGUCCAUUCUCAAAGUGGCGCAACCAAAAAACUAUAAUUAGCACACGAUCGUUCAUGUCUGCACAUGUUCUCUAUUUUCUGUCUUAUUUGUGCCUGCAGCGCUCUGCUACUGCGGAGCUCAUCACCUGUGCUGCGGUGAUUUCACCUCACGCAGCAUCGAAAACGCGCUCUCCGCUUUGUGGUCAGGAGAUCCCUUUGAUCUGCUCAAAAGUAACUGAUGAGGUGAACAAGUAAGAAUCCAGGCAGCAGUUUUUCUGGAGAAUUAAGAGGAGAUGCAGGAAGAUGAGACAGACAGGACAGGAAAAUAGUUCAAUAAAAACAACAAAACAAAGUGUUGAAAAGUAAAAUGUAGGUAGAUUUAUCUCCACUACACGUUUUUACCUAUAAAACAAUAAGUUACACACAUGUAAUAUUUAUAAAUUUGAUACUAUUCAGGUCACCUUCAACACUCAGUCACACACCCAGGGCCGUUUCAAGACAUUUUGGGGGCCAAGGCAAAAUGACCCCCCCCCCCCCCCACUGGGCUCCCCAGAAGCCUCUGUGUAAUUCAUACCCUCUCCAGUAGUGUUAGUUAUACAGUGUUUAUAAAAGCCCCUCAGACAUUACUGACAUGCUCUAAUAUUAUCAGAUGAAAAACUAAAUUAUCAGACAUGCUGUCUCAUCUGCUGCUUUUCUAAACUUGCAGAAAGUAACAAAACCAUUUGAAAGCCACUAUUUGUGGAUUCUCUGAAAGUUUCCAUGGAGUGUGUGACAACUUAUUUUUUCAGUCAUUUUUGGAAAUAGUGAUCAAUUUUGAUUAAUUCACAGCCUAUGUUUAAUUACAUUUAAAAAUUAGUUGUUUGACAUCCCCAGUUAUAAUAAAUGUCUACAGAUGAGAUCAAACAAAACAGAUGAGAAUUGCCCUUAAGCUGUUUAAUUGGACCAAGCAUUUUAGGUCACAGAUAGAUGUAGCUUAGGGUCUCUGUCUAUACACCUUAUAAGACAAUUUAGGUGAUGGCAUGUUGUUUUUCUGCUAUUGAACUGUUUUCUAAUAAUGUUGUGUUAAAUAAAGUGAAGGAAGGAGAGAAAUAACGUUUCCCUAGCAGUUUUUAAAAAUUUCCCCAUGUAAUCCGAUUAAUCGAUUAAUCGUGUCGAGACCCCAUCCGAUUAAUCGAUUAUCCAAAUAAUCGUUUGUUGCAGCCCUAGUGACUUGCUCUUUAAAUUUUGAGACAGAGUUCUAUUAAUAGAACACAAAAAUAUGAAGUCGCUGAGAAAACAUGAAACUGUAACAUGAUGGGUGGAUUUUUGUAUCAGGAAGUUUUAUUUAUUUUAAACUUUUUGUCUUCCGGAGAACUUCUUCUGGAAUUCUGCAGACAAACGAAACACACGAGUCGUUGGAGGAGGUGACUCGCAGUUUCAUCAAAUUAAAUACUACUAUCUGUGACUCAAAGUACAAUGAAACCCAGAAAAGAAAAGAGAAUAAACAGUUUCUGGCUGCAUGUUGACGACGCACUAAUCCACUCACACACAAAGGCGGAAUAAAUAAGCCACAGAGAAAAAUAUGUGCUCAAGAAUUCCAGACGUGAAGCAUUAAACGGAUUAGGUGUCAAAGUCCGGAGAGUCUUGCGUAACUGGUAAAGAUGGAAAGAUGAAAAUCCGCCCCAUCUUUCCCACAUGAUAUCAUGAGGAAGUUCUUCUUAUCAUAGGAAUUUUAAGCCGAUCACACCGAAGGAAUUUUAAAAAGAGCAACACAAGUACAUCACUCCUCUGCUCAUGCUGGGAUGGAUGCAUGGAGAUCACAACCAAAAUCCGACCUCAGCAUGGAAAACCUGCACAAACGAAAGAUUCAACUACAGAAAUGGGAACCUACUGAAUCCGACUACAGGCAGAUCCAACUUUAAACCAAUUCAAUGUUCGAUCAUCUGUUGGGCAUCAAGACACCAGGCUCAUCCCUUGAGCUAUGGGGCCCGUUUGCUGGCCAACUGAAUGAAACAGCACGUAACUGUUUAAAGAACAGCAAAAAACCUUUGGAAAGUCUGGGGGGAAGUAAACAAUUAGAGUAGAAACAUGAAUAAGUACGAGUAAUUUACGACACCAUGUGCUGUUAAAUAAGUUUAUUUAUCUUUUGUAUGUUUGUUUAUUAAGGGGAUAGUUUAGAUCUUAGUAUGUUUAUGUGGUGAGGUUAUUAACUCAUUCACUGCCAGCAUUUUUACUGUCUUUUUUGAAGUCACAGAACAUUGCACUCUUUGAUGAUAAUGUCGACGCCAAAACUACCAAGACAAAGGGUACACUCACCUCUUACAUCAGGAAGCAUCAGUGCGUUUCGAGCUUUAUCCAUUCCUUCAUAAUCCGUUGUUGAAUUGCGAUCGGCAGAAGCUUUUCCAGUUCGUGCCUCACUUUGUUUUUUACAGCAGCGGCCCAAAACGAUCUCCUAAAACAUGGAUUUUCUGCUUCCUGAUCACGUGACGUGUGACGUACACGGAUUAAGAUCGGCUUUAGAGCUGAGAUGUUUGUUCUCACGAUGCGGGGGCUCGUUCCCAAUUUCAAAGGUUUUAGACAUUUAAACGAGUGCUAUUUUUUAACCUGUAAACUGACUCCAUGGUGAGAAUUAUUAUGAAACGCCAGCCAGGAAUAAUGUACGCUGCAGCCAACUUCUGCUGUAAAUAACAAUGUCAUGUGAAGUUCAAGGAAGGGUCAAAACGUUACACAUGGCAACGAAAUAUCUGGAAACACUUGGCAACUGGCCUCCACUUAAACUAGCCGUUAGCUCAUCAAUCUAGACAAAACUAAUCUACAUUUCUCCAAACUAAGGUUGCUCACAUGGCUAUCAGGUAUACGGAUUUGUUCAUAACAUUUCUCCAUAAAGGCUUUGUUAAACAGCGGAGCUGUCUCUUUAACGCCUGACACCUGUCAGGGGUCAAAGGUCGAUACACCUGUCUCUCACAUUCCUUACCUGUCCCGGGGGUCGAUCCAGCUCGUGCAGUGGUUAAUGUGAUCAAUGUAGUAAACUUUGCCAUCAAAGUCUCUGGCUUCCUCCCAACCGUCCGGUAGUGGCAACUCCUUCCUCGGCAUGUCAGGCGAGUCUCCAUGUACCUAUCUCCUCUCUACGUGGAAACACAACGAAGGGAGACCAUCGCUCUUCUCUGUCAUCAUCAGCAGCGGAAUCAGCAGUUAUUUCCACCUAACGCUGUGCGGGCUGGAUUAGGCCAUCGUAAUAAUCCGAAACAGUCCACAGAUUAAUACCGAGGCAGCCCCGAAGCAGGCAGGGGAAAUUGGAGCCGCUUCAGGGGGAUGGAGAACUUCCAGGAGGCUGCAGUUCAUCAGCAUCCGAGCUAGAAACACAAAAACGGGGAAGACAACCCCUCAACACUGUCCGCUGUGCCUCUCAUGGUGCUCCAAAACUUUCCAGGUCGUUUAAAGAAACUUGUAGGGGUCCUGGUGACAACUUUUAGGUUAACAAGAAUUAGCCACGGUCCACAGAACACGGACACCGCUGCUCGGUUUUAACGGAAACAAACCGCAGUUUUAUCCCCAAACACGAACAAGAGAUAGGCGCCAGGACCGGAGCAUCGCCGUUUCACAACAGGAACGGUUCCGAACGGCCCAGAAAUUCCUCCAAAACUCCCGACGGAGCUCGUCUCCUCCGCUUUACCUCCAGCAGGCCACCAUGUUCAGCAGCAGUAACCGAUUUUAGCCGCCAGCCGCGGGAUAGCGAACCCCCCGAGCUGCUCUUCUGUCCACAAACAGUAACGAGGUCACCCAAAGCGUUUCAAAUCCCGUCAAACCAAAACAAACUCCGGAGAAUCCCGUUAAAGUCCCGGUUCGAAGCGGACAGGAAGGAAGGUGCACGGCGGCAAAGUCGUUUCUUCAGACCCGAUCACUUCGGUCAGCCGCCGUGUGCGUCAAGCAGCCUGCGUGCGCAUCCACUCACUUCCACUUCCUGUUUCAAAAUAAAACCAAUGUUGACAAAUCCAGUCUGAAACAAUACAACUUCCGGUCCGAAAUGUUUAUGCAAGAGUUUCAUGAAAUGGACAUAGAAAUAUAAAAUAACUCAAAACACUGAAUAUUUAAAAUAGGUUAAAUCUCACAUAUCUGACAACAACAUACUACAAAACAUAGCAUAUGACAUGAAAAAAAUAUACAAAAUUGAUUUUAAAUGAUCACAAACCUCCCAUAAUUAGCCCAGUCAAAAAAAAAAACCCAGAAAGAACUAAAUUAGAGAUACGAUUUUGUAUUAAAUAAAUUAAUUAAUUUGAUCA
Non-coding RNA from Nothobranchius furzeri (turquoise killifish), 5193 nucleotides. Lineage: Eukaryota; Metazoa; Chordata; Actinopteri; Cyprinodontiformes; Nothobranchiidae. The record is from RefSeq and is a predicted model, not a curated record.